Long non-coding RNA from Anoplophora glabripennis (Asian longhorned beetle), 313 nucleotides. RefSeq lists it as uncharacterized. The transcript is spliced from 3 exons. The record is from RefSeq and is a predicted model, not a curated record. NCBI's taxonomy places the organism in Eukaryota, Metazoa, Arthropoda, Insecta, Coleoptera, Cerambycidae.
UUAUGUUAUAUUGCAUAACGCAAAUUACCCAACAAACCAGAUAAAAGUAUUAUAGAGUAUACAAUGGAAUAUCGGGUAAAUAACCAACCGAAUGGUACCUUUACUACAGCGCUGUACUACAGGCUUACACAGGAAUGCCUUGUUGGGUUGUAUAUAACUCUAAAGAAGUGUGGCACCCUAAGCCAAUUUAUACCACAAGAGUGAGGCUCUUGACGAAGCUAGUCUUAUCUGUGAGAGUGGUGUGUAGCACAGUUGCACAGGUCGAAUUCCUCUGGAGCGAUAAAGUUCUAUCUGGGUGAAACGGAGAGUCAAG